UAUAUAUGAAUAUGUGGUUCCCAGUUGGA
This 29-nucleotide non-coding RNA is filed under the name Rattus norvegicus (Norway rat). Lineage: Eukaryota; Metazoa; Chordata; Mammalia; Rodentia; Muridae. The record is from RNAcentral.